Molecule: long non-coding RNA, 395 nt
Organism: Magnolia sinica
Lineage: Eukaryota; Viridiplantae; Streptophyta; Magnoliopsida; Magnoliales; Magnoliaceae
Exons: 2
Source: RefSeq, a predicted model, not a curated record
AUAGGUUAUUCAAUGGUUCGUACAUUUGGAGUCAGACAUAUCACAAGCGUCUCCUUAUCCUUGACAGGAUUCUUUACAGCGUGUUGUAAUUUUUCAUGACAUGGGAAAGGUGGGAAAUGCCUUGUUCCUGUGGGUCUAGGAGACGAUGAUCAAUGCAUUGAGGAGGGAGCUUCACACUCUUCUGAUCGUUCUUGCAUUCAUCUGGAAUUUGACAUAUCUGGAACAAGACUUGUGCAAGUUUCCUUUGGAUUUUAUUUGAUGCAACUUCAGAGACAAUGAUUAUUAUAGCCUUUUCUUUCGAAUUAUAAGAUUUCUUAUUGCUCUUGAUGAGUCGUGACAAUAGUUUUGCUUACUAAUAAACUUUUAAAUGGAAUGGGUCAUAGGUUUUUCAGCUA